UACGGAGGGAGCUAGCGUUAUUCGGAAUUACUGGGCGUAAAGCGCACGUAGGCGGCUUAGUAAGUUAGAGGUGAAAGCCUGGAGCUCAACUCCAGAACUGCCUUUGAUACUGGUGAGCUUGAGUCCGGAAGAGGUGAGUGGAACUGCGAGUGUAGAGGUGAAAUUCGUAGAUAUUCGCAAGAACACCAGUGGCGAAGGCGGCUCACUGGUCCGGUACUGACGCUGAGGUGCGAAAGCGUGGGGAGCAAACAGG
This 253-nucleotide ribosomal RNA is filed under the name uncultured bacterium. RNAcentral describes it as "partial 16S ribosomal RNA". It matches the Rfam family "Bacterial small subunit ribosomal RNA", at positions 524 to 776 of the family's 1533-position model. The record is from RNAcentral.